This 1426-nucleotide long non-coding RNA is filed under the name Anas platyrhynchos platyrhynchos (common mallard). RNAcentral describes it as "lncRNA (ENSAPLG00000029744.1)". Lineage: Eukaryota; Metazoa; Chordata; Aves; Anseriformes; Anatidae. The record is from RNAcentral.
AUGCUUUAUCUUCUGCAGAGGCAUCGCGAUGUGCUGAGGCUGCAUGGAGGAGGCUGGAAGGUGCCCCUGUUACCUGGGCAAUUUGUGAGCUUCGUGUUACAAAGUGAUGUGCCCUGGACUUUCAGCAUGUGUUUGAGGGGAAGGAGAGUCUCACACAAAUCAAACUCAGUCUUUAAACUUCAGUCUGGAGCCACCAACAGCAGUCUGGUCCUGCUUUGUCUAAUGUGGCAUUGCACUGAUGGCUGCUGCCACUGAAGAUAUUGAAAAGUUCAGAAGAUUUUGCUGCAUGACACACGCAGAGGUGAAACUGACAAUUUCAUUCACAACGUGUUCCCAGCUGCUUGGUAAAUUGAGAUCAAGCACCUUCAUCUUAAUGAACUGCGGGACUUUGGGUGAAUGCUGAAAAACAAAACAACACACCAAGAUUCAAAGCGUAAGAACAGCUAUGUUCUGUGUGUCCCUUUUAUGUUCAGUUGCAAAUAUUUGGUUGAUUUUCAGGGACCGGGAUUUCAUAUAGGCAUUGUUGAAGAAAGUUAUGUUCUUCCCACCCAUGCUAACUUCCACUGUGAGUGGAAUAUGUUAUAUGUGGCAGAAAUCUGUUAGGGUGAUGAUAUUCUUUUAAGAGUCCUGAUGUGAAGGUGCUUAACCCAGGCAAGGAUUUGAGGGUACCUUUGUAGCACUCACACAGAAAAUUGCAUCACUCUGUUUGAGAGCCAGGGUGGUUUUUGGCAGAUGAAAUGGUGCAAUCAGACAGUGCUCAUAUUCAAAGGAGCCCCAUAAUUUCCAGGUAUUUCCUGGAAUAGUGCACCUCUGUCCUUUCCCCACCCUAUGACCCAGAGUGUGUAUUGCUCACUCCCGGGCCCUGCUCCUACCUGCCCCGAUGAAAGUUUAAAUGAGGAAAUAGCCAUUAUGUGGUUGAGUUUAGGGUUGUUUUUUUUUUUUUUUUUUUUCUAAAAGGUAUGAUACUAAGAGUGGUACAAUUUCUUCCCCAGAUUCAGUCAUUUUGCUUUUCUGCUGGCUUCCCAAACAGAUGUCAGCCCAAUUGCCUCAGUGAUGUGAGUCCUCAGUGGCAGAAUACAACCUGAAUUUUUCUCACCAUAAAACAUGGCAAGAACUUCUGUUCUUUUUGCACCAGGUUGAAAGCAAGAGCCACUAGAUUUUUUAUGAAAAACAGACAAAAUCACACUCAAUAGUAGUUUCCAUUUGCACCAAGGAUAUAGAAGACUGCAGGACAGCCUUGCUUUCCAUUUUGGAGAGCAGAGACAUGGCUUUCCCAUGUUUCCAGUGUAUGUCCUAAUCCUUUAGCUGUUUUGGAAGUAGAUUUUCUCAGUCUUUCUUGUGAGAACUUGAUCAUUUGUAUAAAUAAUUCAACACCAUAAUGAUAAUAUCCCACUUUUUUUUUAAUAAAUAAUCCUUUAAAUAAUCA